UCGCACUCGGUGGUGUCCUCGGUUCCGCUGUUUCCAUGGCUCCUGUUUCCUCCUUUAUUCUCUUCUCCAUGUCCUAAGCCUGUUCUGUAGUGUGGGAUUUACUAGAAGAGCAUGGGGGUUGUUCGAGGAGAAGUUGAAAUCCUAGAGGGAGGAAGCCGGGGAAGCGCAUACCACUUGUGUUAUUUCCAUUACAAGGAACGACUCUGUGUCAUAAAAAUAAGAUCUGAAACUCUCAAGGUUGAAACAGCCAAGCAGAAGUUGAUAGAAAUAUAUUUAGGCAGAGCUAAAUUAUCAGAACGAUGCUUACAUAGAAAGCUGUCCUACUGACUUUUGAAGCGGAUGUCUACAUAUUCUUAGAGUCAUCAUAAGCCUGGGAGCUUAUCUUUACUCCCAAGGAUGAAGUUUACAACCUGCACAGAUGGACUGGAGCAGACCACAUAGCUGGAAUUUAGCACCCAGGGACUGGGAUAACCUCACUAGCUCUGUGUCCUUGAACAUGCCCCCACAAAGACCUCUGUAGAGACAAGACCAUAUUAGAUCAUACUUGAAUGAUAAGCAAAUAUUAAUGCCAAGGACUCACUAAGAAUAAAAUCAGACAGACACGUGAAUUUGCUGGAGAGAAUUAUAAAAUCAGAGGCUGAAGGAGAUUGGCGAUGAGGACCUCACAAUUCAAAGUUCAUUCAAGACAUCUUUGAUACAUUCCCAAACACAAGGUCAUCUGGAUGCCUGCAUCUUGGGGCUCACUAAGUAAGUAUCUUGGAACCAGAGUUUUUCUCUUUCAAUUUUGGUUCCACUAGAAUUCCUAAAAUGGCAAUUCCUAUGCUUUAGAGAGCAUGUUAAUCUCCUGGAAGUGCUUGUUGGAAAUGUAGAUGCCUGCUGACCCUGAGAAGCUCCUGGAGACGAUGCUGCUGCAGGUGGGCUGAGCCCAUUGUCUGCGUGUUACUGCCAUCACGGCGUCACACUGGUUGACAAGUGCAGGUCUUGUGCCACUCAGAAAGAAAGUCGUGUUUUCUCUCCCACUGAUCUCUCACCAAGAACUAUGAGUAAAGACUAAAUAAAAGGAACAGGUCUAAAGAAAAACAACACAGAAUAGACAAACCCCCAGUUUUAUAUGGAUGUACUUCUGAAAGGUUGUAUAUAAAUCAGAUUUCUGUGAGUUAAUCUUUACUUUCCCUUCACUUAAAU
This 1185-nucleotide long non-coding RNA is filed under the name Equus caballus (horse). RNAcentral's name for it is "lncRNA (ENSECAG00000050324.1)". Lineage: Eukaryota; Metazoa; Chordata; Mammalia; Perissodactyla; Equidae. The record is from RNAcentral.